RNAcentral lists this ribosomal RNA (676 nucleotides) under Inocybe assimilata. Its description in RNAcentral is "eukaryotic LSU rRNA". It matches the Rfam family "Eukaryotic large subunit ribosomal RNA", at positions 1 to 653 of the family's 3401-position model. Lineage: Eukaryota; Fungi; Basidiomycota; Agaricomycetes; Agaricales; Inocybaceae. The record is from RNAcentral.
UUGACCUCAAAUCAGGUAGGAUUACCCGCUGAACUUAAGCAUAUCAAUAAGCGGAGGAAAAGAAACUAACAAGGAUUCCCCUAGUAACUGCGAGUGAAGCGGGAAAAGCUCAAAUUUGAAAUCUGGCGGUCAUUGGCUGUCCGAGUUGUAAUCUAGAGAAGUGUUACCUGUGCUGGACCGUGUACAAGUCUUCUGGAAUGGAGCAUCACAGAGGGUGAGAAUCCCGUCUUUGACAUGGACUGCCUGCACGUUGUGGUAUGCUCUCAAAGAGUCGAGUUGUUUGGGAAUGCAGCUCAAAAUGGGUGGUAAAUGCCAUCUAAAGCUAAAUAUUGGCGAGAGACCGAUAGCGAACAAGUACCGUGAGGGAAAGAUGAAAAGAACUUUGGAAAGAGAGUUAAACAGUACGUGAAAUUGCUGAAAGGGAAACGCUUGAAGUCAGUCACGUCGGCUAGAAAUCAGCCUUGCUUCUGCUUGGCGUACUUUCUGGUGGACGGGUCAGCAUCAAUUUUGACCAUUGGAUAAAGUCUCUGGGAAUGUGGCAUCUUUUUURGAUGUGUUAUAGCCCAUUGUCGCAUGCAGUGGUUGGGAUUGAGGAACUCAGCACGCCCUGCAAGGGGCCAGGUUUCGACCAUGUUCGUGCUUAGGAUGCUGGCAUAAUGGCUUCAAUCGACCCGUC